This 550-nucleotide ribosomal RNA is filed under the name uncultured bacterium. Its description in RNAcentral is "bacterial SSU rRNA". It matches the Rfam family "Bacterial small subunit ribosomal RNA", at positions 1 to 524 of the family's 1533-position model. The record is from RNAcentral.
ACAUACGCGUAGAGUUUGAUCAUGGCUCAGAGCGAACGCUGGCGGCGUGCCUAACACAUGCAAGUCGAACGUGAAAGGGGGCAACCCUGAGUAAAGUGGCGUACGGGUGAGUAACACGUGGGUAAUCUACCAAAGAGUCUGGAAUAACCUGCCGAAAGGCGGGCUAAUACUGGAUAGAGCGACGGAAUCCGUAAUUGGGUUUCUCGGGAAAGGGAGGAAGCAAUUCCCUUCGCUCUUUGAUGAGCCUGCGUCUGAUUAGCUAGUUGGUGAGGUAAUGGCUCACCAAGGCGAUGAUCGGUAGCUGGUCUGAGAGGAUGAUCAGCCACACUGGAACUGAAAACACGGUCCAGACUCCUACGGGAGGCAGCAGUGGGGAAUCUUGCGCAAUGGACGAAAAGUCUGACGCAGCCACGCCGCGUGAGUGAAGAAAGGCCUUCGGGUCGUAAAAGCUCUGUCGGGCGGGACGAAGACUUUUAGGGUGAAUAGCCCUAAGAAUUGACGUACCGCCAAAGGAAGCACCGGCUAACUUCGUGCCAGCAGCCGCGGUAAU